AAUCUCUAUUAGAGAGAAUCUCU
Molecule: small nuclear RNA, 23 nt
Filed under: Arabidopsis thaliana (thale cress)
Lineage: Eukaryota; Viridiplantae; Streptophyta; Magnoliopsida; Brassicales; Brassicaceae
Description: snRNA_10189
Source: RNAcentral